Pelobates cultripes (western spadefoot toad) is the source of this 609-nucleotide non-coding RNA. The record is from the annotation of a GenBank genome assembly. Lineage: Eukaryota; Metazoa; Chordata; Amphibia; Anura; Pelobatidae.
ACCGCUUCCACCUACACCGCCACGGUCACUGCCUCCUCAACCUCCUACUCCACCUCCUCCUCAUAGUUCAAGAUUAUUAUUUUUAAUUUUGAUGUAUUUUGUUAUUUUAAGUGAUUUCCCUAUCCAAAUUUGUUUGCAGGGCACUUGUCCUACUCUUAUCACCAUUUUACUUCCUUUUUCAGCCCUCUAGCCCUUUCCAGGACUUUUUUAGAGCCACUUUAGUGCCCAAAAGUUCGGGUCCCGAUUGACCUCAAUGGGGUUCGGGUUCGGGGUCAAGCUCGGGUCAAGUUCGAGCCCCAAACUCGAACUUUUUGCCGAAGUUCGGCUGAACCUGAACAUCCAGGUGUCCGCUCAACUUUUAGUCUCGAAGUCUCAAAGUGAAUCUGUCAUUGACCUGGCAGCCUGACAUCUAGAACAACCAGACUGGCAUACCUCAUCACUGACCUAGAACAGCCAAACUAGCAUACCUCAUCGCUGACCUAGAACGAUGAGGUAUGCCAGUCCGACAUACCUCAUCCAUAGAAAUAUAAUGAAUACAUACAAUAGGUGGAACACACAUCUGACGAUUCUAGAAAAUAAAACAGAAUCUCAUAGUAUAAUACUGUUGGG